RNAcentral lists this long non-coding RNA (5398 nucleotides) under Sus scrofa (pig). RNAcentral describes it as "lncRNA (ENSSSCG00065034911.1)". The record is from RNAcentral. Lineage: Eukaryota; Metazoa; Chordata; Mammalia; Artiodactyla; Suidae.
UUUUUUUUUUUUUUUCCCAUACCCAGGAAAUGUAGAAGUUCCUGAGCCAGAGAUUGAACCCACACCACCGUAGUGACCCCAGCCCCAGCCGCUGCAGUGACAUCCCCGGAUCUUUAACCCACUACGCCACAGCCAGAUCGUGGCAAAAUUCUAAUCUUAGAAAAUAUUCCCUGCACUUUUCCAUCAACCUCGCCUCAGCCCUGGAAACAUAUUGUGUCUGUGUGAUCAUUAAUUUAGGUAGCAAACAGAAUGAACUGGAGCCAUGGAAAUCUAGAACACAGUAGGUAUUUAAUGAAUGCUUUGUGAUAGAUUGAUCAACGGAUAGUAGGAAGUACAUGCUCGGCCUUCUUCCAUCCAUCUUCUCUGCUAGGUUUAUGGCACUCAGUUUCCCACAGUUGUGCCCCUCCUCCAGACACCCACUGCCCUGCCCCUCUCUUCUCAGUUACUUUGAUUGGGCCAAGAUAGGUCUGUUCUCUACUGAAUUAGGUAAUGAAGCAAUUUUUUUUAAAAGUCUCAUUUUUAAAAAACAACAAAAGCAGCAAUAAGAAAAGACUCCAGGAAUAAGCAACCCUUCAACAAAACAGUCUGUUAAUACUUGAGAAAAAAAAAAAAAGAACAGCUAUGGUCUGACUCUACGCUCUCCCACCCCCAAAUCACCACAACUUAUGACAACAGUCACUUAGAAGGACCGCAAAAUCACUGCCGCUGAACCACGCUGGCCUCUGGCUUUAUAUACCCCUUCUCCUAUAAACAACAUCCUCUUUGAACCAGUGAGGUACCAGUGUGGGGUUACUUCUGACUCAUUCUAGUGGGGAAAGUGCCCCUGGUUCAGCUCCUGUGGUGACCAUGGGAGAAUUGUUGUUAGCUCUUGAAUCGAUUAUACAUAUAUAUAUAGUAUAUAUACAAUAUACAAUGAAUGUUGACAUAUAUUCUUUUAUAGAUUCUUUUUCCUGAGAGGUUAUCACAAAAUAUUGGGUGUAGUUCUCUGUGCUAUGCAGUAGGUCCUUGUUGGUUAUCUAUUUUAUAUAUAGUAGUAUAUAUAUGUUGAUCCCAAACUCCUAAUUUCUCCCUCCCCCACCUUUCCCCUUUGGUAACCAUAAGUUUAUUUUCUGUGUCUGUGGUUGAAUAUGCUGUAGUCAUUAAAAUUAUUAAAGUAAGAAAACUGGAAAAAAAUCAAUGCAUCUCUAUUUUACUUUCUUUCUUUCUUUCUUUCUUUUUUGUCUUUUUAGGGCCACACCCACACAUAUGGAGGUUCCCGGGCUAGGGGUUGAAUCAGAGCUGUAACCACUGGCCUACGCCACAGCCACAGCAAUGCAGGAUCCAAGCCACACCUGCAAACUCUCCGUGAGCUCACAGCACGCCAGAUCCUUAACCCAGUGAUCGAGGGCAGGGAUCGAAUCUGUGUCCUUAUGGAUACUGGUCAGAUUCAUUUCCACUGGGCCACGACGGGAACACCUCUAUUUUACAUUUUGGAGGAAAACAUAGAAGAAUGUUAUAAAGCCAUGCCUGGCAAAUGCUGGCCUGAAGGCAAUUUUAGGCCUGCGUGUGAUUUUAUAUGGCCUACAAGCUGUGAAUUGUUUUUAUAUUCUUAAACGGAAAGGAAAAAUCAAAAGAAGGAUAUUUCAUAAUAUGUGACAUUAUAUGAAAUUCAAAUUUCAGGGUUAAGAAACAAAGUUUUGUUGGAACCCAGCGUGGUUCUCUGCUAGGUUUAUGGCACAUCUGCUUUCACACUGUGAUGACAUGGUAGAGUUGCUAUGCCAGAGGCUGGUGAUCCACAAAGCAUAAAAUACUCAUUACCUGGCCCUUUACAGAAAAGUUUGUCAACUCUAGAAUAAAGAAAGAAAAAAAGUAAAUUUUCCAUUUUCCCAAAGAAACAUUUUUUUCAAUUUUUUCCUGUUUUGUUCCUAUUGAUCAAGGAGGUCUUGCUUCAUUUCAUGUUUUCUUAAAGUCAUAUUUUUCUCUUGAAAGUAGCUUAAUCACUGUAGAGAUGGAAAGUGGCACAGAAGGGUAAAGAAGAGAAAGAACUAUCCCCAAUAAAUACUCUCAACAUCCAGAGAAAACAAAUGCUACUAUUUAUAACAUAUUCUUUCAAUCUUUUUAAAGUGCAUUUUCCCAGUUUUUACAAAAUCGAGCUCAUGAUAUGUGGCAUUUUGCUUUCUUUCACUUAAAUUUAAAUCAUGACUAUUUCGAAGUUCCCAUCAUGGCUCAGCAGUAAUGAACCUGAAUAGUCUCCGUGAGGAUGUAGGUUCGAUCCCUGGCCUUGCUCAGUGAGUUAAGGAUCCGGUGUUGGUGUGAGCUGUGGUGUAGGUUGCAGACAUGCCUUGGAUCCCGUGUCACUGUGGCUGUAGUGUAGAAUGGCAGCUGUAGCUCUGAAAGAAAGAAAGAAAGAAAGAAAGAAAGAAAGAAAGAAAGAAAGAAAGAAAGAAAGAGAUCUAAAUCAUGAAUAUUUCCUGCAAAAUUUUUAAUACUAAAAUCAACUACAAUGAAAUGUUUCUCUCCACUCCUUGAAUAAUACCUUUUGGACUAUCUGUCAUCAAAAAUGCUCUUCUUUUUGUCCAGAAUAAAAAAGAAAGUAGUUGAAGCCCCAUUUCUGUGAGUUUAGAAGAGCCGUCUUAGAAUCCUUUCAAGUUACCCAGAAUCUUUAUGAUUCGUUUUCUAUUUCUUUGAAGAAAUAAGACUUUUUCCUUUAAUAAGCAAACCACUAAAAAUACAGAUUGCCCUUUUCUCGACUUUUGGUUUUGAAUCUAACAGGAGAUUAAGAACCUUUUUAGUUGGGGUUUUAUUGGUUUCUAUAUUGUUAAGUAUAGUAUUUCUGCAUGUCUGUAAGAUCCUCCCUGUAUCUAUGUACGAAUACUAACACGAAACAGAACUACGCUUGCAGAGUUAUGCCAAUUCCUUCUGUGAGAGCAACUGUUGAAAAGCAUUACUAAUUACUGGAAGGGUCAUGUUAUUUUGUUAUCAAAGGACAUAUAUUGAAAAUAAAAGUUGUUUUGAAACCACACCUAGCAACAGGUCAUGGUACUGCAGAGCUAUUAUAUUUAAGCCAAGUUAUUUCUUUAGGUCUAAGUGACAAAGAAUCAACAUAAAAAGAUUAAAGGAUGGAGGGGCAGGGAAUCUUUGCUGCUUGGUACUGGCUUUCCUUGCUAUCACAAAUGGAGAUCCCCAAACUGCUGGAAAAUAAGCUGUGUUGAAAAGGAAUGGUUCCAGUUCCAUGCAUGGCUUUUAUUCUAUGCAGGAACCGGAGUUGCUUUUGUUUUACAUGACAAUUUCUAUUACCCAGAUGGAAUUGAGGGACAUUGAAUCAAUUUGAAAAACCCAAGUUUUUACUAUAAGUGAUGCAUGUCAGGGGAUGGGUCCUCACUGUGGCUAACCAGAGGGUGGACUUGAAUUCAUUCUGGUUCCUUUAACUGCACAGAGUUUACUGCACAGCACGAAGUAAGUUUACUGGAAUGAGGACAGACUGGUGAUUAGCUAUGAUCCAUAAACUUUAGUUCACUGAAACCCCAAUCUAGGCUGUUUGUUGCAAUUGCAGCAAUUUAUGUACACACCCAACAAGAAGGAGAGUGGAGAAAAAGUGGGGAAAUGGAGAGAAAGAAGGAAGGAAGGAAGGGAGGGAGGGAGGAAGGAAAUAUGAAAAUCUAUUAAUUAUAACAUCUUUCAUUAGUAUCUCUGUGUGUUAACAAUGGAACCAUUGCAGCUGAGAAUGUCUUUGUUGAUUUAGAGCCAGGAAGAACUUCAAACCCUGUGGGCUGAAAAUACAUGCAUGUUUUCAGCGGCUCUAGGCUCUCAAAUGUUUGUGGCCAGAUGUAGUGAUGAAGUGGAGAUCAUUCUUUCCAUGAGGAAGAACGGGGCAAGGAAACACAGUGCUGAAAUGCAGUGAGAAUGACCACAGACCUUGAGGUUGGACUGUGCCGAGUGGUCAGAUUGCUCAUCGCCCAAAGCAGGCUGACAAUGCCCACCUCCCUCCCCCGAAAGGUGGGAACCCCAAGGGCUAUGGGAGAGCUUGGCGCACAGGAAGCUGCAUCAAAUGAUCACGGAGCUUUACUGAACUGAGGACGUUCAGCAAAACUGGCUCCCUGAAAACAAGAGUGCUUUUUAGGGCACGUGCAGGGAAGAGCUGGUAUUUCAAAAGCCACAGUGUUAAUUAUCCCUCAGCGAGGUUCGGGUAGAUUCUCUGCACUCCACAUAUUUGACACGGUCUUUGAAAGUGGAUGAGCCACGUCCAGGUGCAAAUGCUUUCUCCAAGGUUCUACGCCCUACUUCUUCUGGAAGGAAGAAGCUUCUCCCGAUCAUCUGCUGUAGCACCUGCGUUCUGACCCAGGCUCUUGAGACAAAGCCAGCCAAAGGCAAACUGGGUGAUUGUAAAAAUUCGUUUCUAAUAAUAAUUCGUUGUUAACUUCAAGCUAAAUGCAGCUGGCUCUGUGAUGGGCUGGACGGGAGCCAGGCUAUGGAGAAUGGAAGCAAAAGCCCUGUGUGGGGAGUUGACAUACUUCAGCUUGGAACUGGAUUGCUGGGUUAGGGAGAUGAAAGGAAGUCUUGGGUAUGACUGGGGAGCAGAGGAUGGAGCUGAAGUCUGCUCCUCACCUCUAUCCCCACCCCCAGUUCUUGGUCCUCCCUGAGCCAGUGAACAGGAAAGACGUCACAGCCACUCAACUCCUUUUCUCCCAGGAGCAAAGUGGAAGGUACCUUUGUUUCUCAUAGUUGGAAGGUAAUUUUUUUUGGUCCCUAAACCCUAACCAGAAAGGUCGUUCGAAGGCUCAGACACACGCUUAUGCUGAAAAGAAGUGGCAAGGUUAGGAUCUAGGCAAGCUAGGUGGGUGGUGCCAUAACUGCUCUCAGCCUCAGGAAGCCAAUAAUAAUCAUAGCUAACUUUAUAAAGUGUUUCAACACAUUCCUCUUUAAUCAUCCCUUCAACUCCAAGAGCGAGGCUUCUAUUAUUCCCAUUUUACAGAUACAGAAAUAGAGACACAAUGUAAUUAAUGAGCCCAAGUUCAUACAGCUGGCCCCGUAGUGAUCAUGCCUUUGAUUUUCUGGGCACAUCAUUUUUUAGCAUAAAGACUUCAUCUCUCAGCUUCUCAGGCAGUUGGGUACAGACACAGACUAAGAGCUGGCCAAUGGGCUAUGAGGGGAAAUGUUACAGCGUGGGUCACCUCUGGGACUUGCCUUUAAAGGGAAAGGAAGGAACCUCCCCCUCUCUCCUCUUCCACCUUCCUGCUGCUUGAAAUGAUGAAAUAGUGAGACAUCUUGGGCCUUACAGCAGAAGGCACCAUCCUAUGAAUGGUGGCACCAGAUCCCAAUUCCUGACAGCCUCGUGGUGUAGACCAGCCAUACCAUUCCUGGGGCCACCAAGCUCAGACUAUUAAGUGGGGGAAAAUCAUUCUUGUGGAAACCUUCUUUU